Small nuclear RNA from Manis pentadactyla (Chinese pangolin), 102 nucleotides. NCBI's taxonomy places the organism in Eukaryota, Metazoa, Chordata, Mammalia, Pholidota, Manidae. The record is from RefSeq and is a predicted model, not a curated record.
GUGCUCGCUUCAGCAACACAUAUACUAAAAUUGGAAUGAUACAGAGAAGAUUAGCAUGGCCCCUGCUCAAGGAUGACAAAAAAAGAAAAAGAUAAGCAUGUA